This 465-nucleotide ribosomal RNA is filed under the name uncultured bacterium. Its description in RNAcentral is "bacterial SSU rRNA". It matches the Rfam family "Bacterial small subunit ribosomal RNA", at positions 338 to 795 of the family's 1533-position model. The record is from RNAcentral.
CCUACGGGCCGCAGCAGUGGGGAAUAUUGCACAAUGGGCGCAAGCCUGAUGCAGCCAUGCCGCGUGUAUGAAGAAGGCCUUCGGGUUGUAAAGUACUUUCAGCGGGGAGGAAGGGAGUAAGGUUAAUAACCUUAUUCAUUGACGUUACCCGCAGAAGAAGCACCGGCUAUCUCCGUGCCAGCAGCCGCGGUAAUACGGAGGGUGCAAGCGUUAAUCGGAAUUACUGGGCGUAAAGCGCACGCAGGCGGUCUGUCAAGUCGGAUGUGAAAUCCCCGGGCUCAACCUGGGAACUGCAUUCGGAACUGGCAGGCUAGAGUCUUGUAGAGGGGGGUAGAAUUCCAGGUGUAGCGGUGAAAUGCGUAGAGAUCUGGAGGGAUACCGGUGGCGAAGGCGGCCCCCUGGACAAAGACUGACGCUCAGGUGCGAAGGCGUGGGGAGCAAACAGGAUUAGAUACCCGCGUAGUC